Molecule: ribosomal RNA, 423 nt
Filed under: Rikenellaceae bacterium
Lineage: Bacteria; Pseudomonadati; Bacteroidota; Bacteroidia; Bacteroidales; Rikenellaceae
Description: bacterial LSU rRNA
Rfam family: Bacterial large subunit ribosomal RNA
Source: RNAcentral
GAAAAAGUUACGAAGGGCGUAUGGGGGAUGCCUUGGCUUCCGGGAGCGAAGAAGGACGUGGUAAGCUGCGAAAAUCGCCGGGGAUUAGCAAACAUGAGUUGAUCCGGCGGACUCCGAAUGGGACAACCCACCAGGUUGAAGGCCUGGUACCACAGCAAUGUGGGGCAGACGCAGGGAACUGAAACAUCUUAGUACCUGCAGGAAAAGAAAGAAAAAUCGAUUCUCUGAGUAGUGGCGAUCGAAAGGAGAAGAGCCUAAACCGCUGUUGUUUUUGGCAAGAGCGGGGUUGCAGGACCCGAGGACAAACAAUACCAAAGAAGAGGAAGCUGCCUGGAAAGGCACACCGCAGGGCGUGAAAGUCGCGUACUUAUAGAUUGGUAAAGUUUAUUGGGUAUCCUAAGUAGGGCGGGACACGAGGAAUCC